UACGUAGGUGGCGAACGUUAUCCGGAAUUACUGGGCGUAAAGGGUCCGUAGGCGGGGGAGCAGGUCGGAUGUGACAGCGCGCGGCUUAACUGCGCGUCGCCGUUCGAAACCGCUUCUCUUGAAUGGGGGCGAGGUCGGUGGAAUUCCCGGUGUAGUGGUGGAAUGCGUAGAGAUCGGGAGGAACCUCGAACGCGAAGGCAGCCGGCUAGCCCCAGAUUGACGCUGAGGGACGAGAGCGUGGGGAGCGAACAGG
RNAcentral lists this ribosomal RNA (253 nucleotides) under uncultured bacterium. RNAcentral's name for it is "partial 16S ribosomal RNA". It matches the Rfam family "Bacterial small subunit ribosomal RNA", at positions 524 to 776 of the family's 1533-position model. The record is from RNAcentral.